UUUGAAAAGUUCAUUUGGAAA
RNAcentral lists this non-coding RNA (21 nucleotides) under Caenorhabditis elegans. Lineage: Eukaryota; Metazoa; Nematoda; Chromadorea; Rhabditida; Rhabditidae. The record is from RNAcentral.